AGAGUUUGAUCCUGGCUCAGGAUGAACGCUGGCGGCGUGCCUAACACAUGCAAGUCGAGCGAUUUACUUCGGUAAAGAGCGGCGGACGGGUGAGUAACGCGUGGGUAACCUGCCCUGUACACACGGAUAACAUACCGAAAGGUAUGCUAAUACGAGAUAAUAUACUUUUAUCGCAUGGUAGAAGUAUCAAAGCUCUGGCGGUACAGGAUGGACCCGCGUCUGAUUAGCUAGUUGGUAAGGUAACGGCUUACCAAGGCGACGAUCAGUAGCCGACCUGAGAGGGUGAUCGGCCACAUUGGAACUGAGACACGGUCCAAACUCCUACGGGAGGCAGCAGUGGGGAAUAUUGCACAAUGGGCGAAAGCCUGAUGCAGCAACGCCGCGUGAGUGAUGAAGGCCUUCGGGUCGUAAAACUGUCCUCAAGGAAGAUAAUGACGGUACUUGAGGAGGAAGCCCCGGCUAACUACGUGCCAGCAGCCGGUAAUACGUAGGGGGCUAGCGUUAUCCGGAUUUACUGGGCGUAAAGGGUGCGUAGGUGGUCUCUUAAGUCAGGAGUGAAAGGCUACGGCUUAACCGUAGUAAGCUCUUGAAACUGGGAGACUUGAGUGCAGGAGAGGAAAGUGGAAUUCCUAGUGUAGCGGUGAAAUGCGUAGAUAUUAGGAGGAACACCAGUAGCGAAGGCGGCUUUCUGGACUGUAACUGACACUGAGGCACGAAAGCGUGGGGAGCAAACAGGAUUAGAUACCCUGGUAGUCCACGCCGUAAACGAUGAGUACUAGGUGUCGGGGGUUACCCCCCUCGGUGCCGCAGCUAACGCAUUAAGUACUCCGCCUGGGGAAUACGCUCGCAAGAGUGAAACUCAAAGGAAUUGACGG
Molecule: ribosomal RNA, 875 nt
Filed under: uncultured bacterium
Lineage: Bacteria
Description: bacterial SSU rRNA
Rfam family: Bacterial small subunit ribosomal RNA
Source: RNAcentral